GCCUGGGUGGCUCAGUCGGUUGAGCAUCUGACUUCGGCUUAGGUCAUGAUCUCGUGGUCUGUGAGUUCAAGCCCCGCGUCGGGCU
RNAcentral lists this transfer RNA (85 nucleotides) under Felis catus (domestic cat). It matches the Rfam family "tRNA". From Rfam's summary of the family: Transfer RNA (tRNA) molecules are approximately 80 nucleotides in length. Lineage: Eukaryota; Metazoa; Chordata; Mammalia; Carnivora; Felidae. The record is from Rfam by way of RNAcentral.